This 525-nucleotide ribosomal RNA is filed under the name Heterodrilus queenslandicus. RNAcentral describes it as "partial 16S ribosomal RNA". It matches the Rfam family "Bacterial large subunit ribosomal RNA", at positions 1808 to 2618 of the family's 2925-position model. Lineage: Eukaryota; Metazoa; Annelida; Clitellata; Tubificida; Naididae. The record is from RNAcentral.
GUAAAACAUAGUCUUAAGUAAUGAAAUAAUGGAUGAUGAGCCCUGCCCAAUGACCUAAAUGAAUGGCUGCGGUAUCCUGACCGUACUAAGGUAGCAUAAUCACUUGUCUAUUAAUUGUAGUCUAGAAUGAAUGGGUAAACGCAUAUUUAGCUGUCUCAGAGUAGCAUCUAAAAAUUAACAUCUAAAUGAAAAGGUUUAGAUAAAAAAGAAGGACAAGAAGACCCUAUAGAUCUUUCUUUAUGCUUGACCCCCCAUCAAGCAUAAAAUUUGGAUGGGGCGUCCCGAGAAAAAACUAAAAUACAACUCAACAAGCCCGAGCCACAACUCCACGAAACAAAACCUCAGAUACCUGAAUUAAGAAAACUAAAGUUUCCUUAGGGAUAACAGGCUAAUUCUUCUCAAGAGUCCAUAUUCACAGAAAAGCUUGGCACCUCGAUGUUGGCUUAGGAGAUAAUAUUGACGCAGCAGUCAAGCACCCCCAGUUUGUUCAACUGAUAAAAUCCUACGUGAUCUGAGUUCAAACCG